AUUUAUUGAGUGUAUAUUUCUAGACAUAGAAGCUUGCAGCAGAAGAUAUGAACACUGUAACGUCUCUUGCUAUGUUCUGCCAAGUUGCUUUCUAGGUAUAUUACUCAGCAUCUAUUUCUAUCUGAAGAUGAUGACAGUCCCUGUCUCAACACGUCUUGGCUUCUUCAGCCUAGUUGGCUGUAAAGAAUAAAUUUUAUAAACGAAAGGUGAAAAGAAGUGCAAUGUCCAAGGGGCAGGAAUGAAAAGAAGAGAUAAGUGAAGAAAUGGUUAGAAAGUUGAGCUGGGAGAACUCGCAGUGGACUGGCUGUGGAGUGUUCUUUCCUUAUAUGAAGACAACAGCUUUCACCAGUUUGUUGCGGGGAGAACACGGUCUGUGACUGGAAGGAACAUACGGAUGGUUUGAUCACUGGAGGCCAUGAAGGAUAAACUCAAAUACAGAUACCCAGUCUGCUGGGGGCCCCUAAGCAGAGACGUGCUGGAGGAUGGAGGUGUGUCCUUUUGCGCUUCAAGUUGCAAUGAAUGGAAUCUGCACUUCUGGAUUCACGGGAUCAAAAGCGGAACUCUUCUAUGUAAGAGAGGGGAGAGGAUUCUGAGCUCUCUUUUGGGAAGGAGCAAGAUGCCAAGCUAGGAGGAGGAAAAUAGGAUCAAGAGAGGUGGCCAUGGCAGGAGGGACAGGGAGAUGAGAAAAUUUCUCAAAACUGUAGCGUCUGGAAAGGACUUCUGGUUUAGUGUGAGAUACAUGGUGCAUCCCGUGUCUUCUGAGAUUCUUCCCCCAA
Molecule: long non-coding RNA, 776 nt
Organism: Capra hircus (goat)
Lineage: Eukaryota; Metazoa; Chordata; Mammalia; Artiodactyla; Bovidae
Exons: 3
Source: RefSeq, a predicted model, not a curated record